UACGGGGGGGGCAAGCGUUGUUCGGAAUUACUGGGCGUAAAGGGCUCGUAGGUGGCCAACUAAGUCAGACGUGAAAUCCCCAGGCUCAACCUGGGAACUGCGUCUGAUACUGGAUGGCUUGAAUCCGGGAGAGGGAUGCAGAAUUCCAGGUGUAGCGGUGAAAUGCGUAGAGAUCCGGCGGAACACCGGUGGCGCAGGCGGCGCCCUGGGCCGAGCCCGACGCUGAGGCGCGAGAGCGUGGGGAGCGAACCGG
RNAcentral lists this ribosomal RNA (253 nucleotides) under uncultured bacterium. RNAcentral describes it as "partial 16S ribosomal RNA". It matches the Rfam family "Bacterial small subunit ribosomal RNA", at positions 524 to 776 of the family's 1533-position model. The record is from RNAcentral.